UGGGGAAUAUUGGACAAUGGGCGAAAGCCUGAUCCAGCCAUGCCGCGUGUGUGAAGAAGGUCUUCGGAUUGUAAAGCACUUUAAGUUGGGAGGAAGGGCAUUAACCUAAUACGUUAGUGUUUUGACGUUACCGACAGAAUAAGCACCGGCUAACUCUGUGCCAGCAGCCGCGGUAAUACAGAGGGUGCAAGCGUUAAUCGUAAUUACUGGGCGUAAAGCGCGCGUAGGUGGUUUGUUAAGUUGGAUGUGAAAUCCCCGGGCUCAACCUGGGAACUGCAUUCAAAACUGACUGACUGGAGUAUGGUAGAGGGUGGUGGAAUUUCCUGUGUAGCGGUGAAAUGCGUAGAUAUAGGAAGGAACACCAGUGGCGAAGGCGACCACCUGGACUAAUACUGACACUGAGGUGCGAAAGCGUGGGGAGCAAACA
RNAcentral lists this ribosomal RNA (427 nucleotides) under uncultured bacterium. RNAcentral describes it as "partial 16S ribosomal RNA". It matches the Rfam family "Bacterial small subunit ribosomal RNA", at positions 355 to 774 of the family's 1533-position model. The record is from RNAcentral.